GCACCCAUUCUGCCCGCCUCAGAAUGAAAAAAGAGACAGAGUUUGGGGCUGGGCCUCUUCAGUGAUCUGAGCCAAAUAUCCCCUUCUACGUCUUCAGCCACCUGGAGGGGAGUCUGGUCUAGCUGACACCCCUCCUAGCUCAUCCUGCGCUGUCUUCCACUGCCGGCCCCCCCCCCCCCCGCCUCCCGGAGCCCCCCCCCUACUCUCUCAUUUUACCUUCCAUGCCUGAAACAGCUUUCUCCACUCCGUAUACCUGGUAAACUCCUACUUGCCCGGGCUCAGGUCAGGCACCACCUCCUCCAAGAAGCCUUCUCUGAUUCCCUCAGGCACAGGUCACCUGUCUUUUCCCACACUCCCACCACACCCAGUAGGUUUCUCUGGGAAACCUUUGUUCAGUAGGGCCUGCCAGCCUAAAAGAUCUUGUCAAGCUUUAUUUGCCAUAGUCAUAUUAUGAAAAUAGGGAUUUUUUUAUUCCCUUCCAAAUACAAAAUGAUGUUUUAACAGUUAAUGUAAAUUUUCAAUCAAUGUCUACCCCUACCCCGGACAGUCUGAAUUACUCCCCUGGAGAGAUGUCUUCCCUACCCUUGAUUGAAAAACUGCAGCAAAACAUCCCUCAUUGAUUCAGUAAACAUCCAGGUGGCCCCUUUGGUGGAAAGCAUCAUGCUGAGCGCUGGACACACAAAUUAUAAAAGUGUGUUAUAAUUGUCCCUUUCUCUGUACUAGCUAGGAAAAUGCAGGGAAGAUUCCUGCCAAACUGUUUAACUGACACUACUUUGGAAGCUGGUGGUACAGGGACGGAUGGGGGACUUUCCCUUAGUAUAUUAUGUAAUUUUAAAGUGACAGGGUUAGGGGUGUUUUUUACUUUCUUAGUAUUUUUCAAGUAAAACAUUUCUUGGUGGUUCAUUGGUGUGUGUUUCCCUACAAGACCGGGAGGCUUUAGGGGGCAAGGAAGGGUCUGAGUCACUUCUAAGUCUUUAGCUUCGCGCCAGGGCCUGACACACAGGGGCCUAGGAAAUGUCUGUGAAAUGACCAUAGGACAGAGCUGAGCAGUCAUGGGAAGUAGAACUGGCAGGCCCAAGAGACAUAGACUGAGGAGAGGGGUCAAGCCCAGGGGUGGAAUCGCUGUGGAUGCAGGGAGGCAGUAACACAGGAGGAAUGUGGUACCCACGUUCCGGGUUGUUCCUGGUCGGCAUGGUGCCUGGAACUGGGGAUAAACAUUCGUCUGUUGGGGAAAUGAGGUCACAGGGUGACAGAACUCCCAGAAAACAAACUCUUGGUCCUGGCUUUGCAAUUGCAGACAACAGGACUGAGCAGAUCAGAGCCGGGGAGGGAGGAGCCAGAGGAAGGGGUUGGCAGGACGGUUAGAGGAGGCGUCCUUGAGAAUCAGAGACUGGGCGGAACAGCAGGUGGCAGAGGACUAGCCUGCUACAGCCUGGGUCGCUGGGUCCUUGGGUCGCAGGGAACUUGGGGGAGGUGGUUCUAGGAGUUUACGAACAGAAGGAAUGCCUCCUGCUCCCAAGGGGGAAUGGUUUGGCCGGUUUGCACUGGGUGGCUCUCUCCCUCCCCCUCCCUGUGGCCUUUGUUCCUUCCACAGAUAUUUCCUCAGGCAUCUUCAGACACAGCACUGGUGAUUAGGGCCAGAAGGAGAGGAAAGGGCUGGGGACCCCCAGAGGAGGCAGGAGGCAGGAGAUUAUAAACCAGCUGGAGGGAGGGAAGUCAUGGAAAACUUCCUGGAGGUGUGGACUCCCAAGCUGAGGCUUAAAGGCUGAAGAGGAGCUGUCCAGAACCAGGCCCGGAGGCAGGAAGCCCUAAGAAGGCAGAUACCAGCUCAGCGUUAAGGACGGUCUCACAUGGAAGCAUUGGUAAGUAGUCGAACGGGUCUGCUGGAAGCUGAACUCUGUCAAGGGAACGACCUUAUGGGUACUGGACACUUCUGUGUAGACGGCAUCUGGCCCUGGGGUUUCAUGGAAAGGGGUGGGUAGAGAGAAAGAAAAGCAACCCAAGGAGCAGCCAUUGUGGGAAACACAGGGCUGAGGGAAGUCAAACAAGGUUUCUUGCUGCAGGACUUCUCAGGACCUUCACUGCCCUGGAACACGGGCUACAGACUCAAAUGUUUACAGAACCCAGGCAGACAGCACAAAUGGGUGACAGGGGCAAGUGUGAAUGGGGUGGAGAGUGCAGGCCUGUCAGGAGGGGAAGCCUGCUCAACUCCUACUCUGUUCUGCCGACUAUCCUUACGGGAAAUUUUUUGGCCACUAUCAUGGGUUGAAUCAGGGCUCCCCAAAAGAUACGUCAGAAGUCCUAACCCCCAGUGCCAGUAAAUGACCGUAUUCGGAAACACGGUCUUUGCAGAUGUAAUCAAAGUAAAUGAGGUCAUUAGGGUGGGCCCUAAUCCAGUGAUCGGUGGGAAGUGUGAACACAGAGACAGAUGUGCACAGAGAGAAGGUGGCCAUAUGACCAUGGAGGCAGAGAUUGGAGCGAUCCAGCUAUGAGAACACCAAGGAUUUCUGGUACUUCCAGAAGCUAGAGGAAGCAAAGAGGGGUUCUCCCUAGAGCCACCCAGUUUGUGGGGCUUUGUCAUGACAGCCCCAGGAAACAAAUACAGCCACUAACUCAUGA
This is a long non-coding RNA of Felis catus (domestic cat), 2619 nucleotides long. RefSeq lists it as uncharacterized. The record is from RefSeq and is a predicted model, not a curated record. The transcript is spliced from 2 exons. NCBI's taxonomy places the organism in Eukaryota, Metazoa, Chordata, Mammalia, Carnivora, Felidae.